UAAAGUCGUAAACAGGUUUCCGUAGGUGAACCUGCGGAAGGAUCAUUA
Molecule: ribosomal RNA, 48 nt
Filed under: Inocybe fibrosoides
Lineage: Eukaryota; Fungi; Basidiomycota; Agaricomycetes; Agaricales; Inocybaceae
Description: partial 18S ribosomal RNA
Rfam family: Eukaryotic small subunit ribosomal RNA
Source: RNAcentral